CUUGGCAAAAUAUAGAACUCACGUUG
This 26-nucleotide microRNA is filed under the name Ciona intestinalis (vase tunicate). RNAcentral's name for it is "Cin-Mir-96-P2_5p (mature (guide))". The record is from RNAcentral. Lineage: Eukaryota; Metazoa; Chordata; Ascidiacea; Phlebobranchia; Cionidae.